This is a long non-coding RNA of Cryptotermes secundus, 1225 nucleotides long. RefSeq lists it as uncharacterized. Lineage: Eukaryota; Metazoa; Arthropoda; Insecta; Blattodea; Kalotermitidae. The record is from RefSeq and is a predicted model, not a curated record. The transcript is spliced from 4 exons.
ACAUUUUCUCUUAGACAUGGAGCUGGCAUUGUCUGUGGGCCACCUUGUCACCAUGGGACAUAAGUACAGAGACCUGGUCCUCUGGGUUAGCUGUCGCAUGCAAGGCUGACGACCUUACACUGUAAUAAUAGUUGUUGCGAAAUUGAUGAUGCAAAUCUUGGUGCACUAGUAUGCGAGACAGAUGUGGCAGAAUCCUGUAAGGAAGUGUGAAGUAGAUACCACAAUGAGAGAAAAACAGAAACUUUAAUUGAUGCUAGUAAGGAGAUUUGUGUAAAAGUAAGUAUGUAUUUAUGUUUCAUCAGCAGAAUGUAGGGCAGAAUCAUGACAUAAAGAUAGCCAACGGAUGCUUUGAUGAAGUGGCACAAUUAAGAUAUUUGAGGAGGACGGUAUACGAAUGGACUGCAGUUUUCCCCGCUAUUGGCGCUGUCGUUGCAGUCGUUGGAGAAUGGUGUGGAGUGGAGUGGAGUGGGGGUAUCGAGGUUGGAAGCCGCGCCACUUGCGGCGACAUUUUGAAGCUAAUAUGUUUAUCUUUAGACAGCCAUUUUGUGAGUUGGAUGAGUUGGAUGGUCUAAGACGAAGAAAGAUUCGUGAGGAUUUUGUUGAAAUGCUAAUUUUGGAGAAUUAAGAAACGUGCUUGGAGUUUGUCACUUGGUGGGCUCUGCGUGACCCGUUUAUGAACUGAUUUGCAACUGUGUGAACAUGCAAAAGCUUCAGUGAUGUGUUUUGUAGAGAUCUGGGGGAAAUGGAUCAGCCUCUGGUCAUCUUCUGUCGCACAAGUGUGUCUUAAUGACUGUGGAAAUAUCACCGCCACAGCAUACUAUGAUUUAUGAGGACCUUUUACUGUCUGCCUGCCUGCCUGUCUUAGUCUGCUUGUGUCUUCGCUUUGAGCCUCCCAGAUUGCAUACCUGUCUUUGCUAUGAAUGCAACUCAGAGUAUUCUUACCUAGUACUCGUAUGCAUGUGUCUUUCAUUGACCUAAGGGAGAAAGUAAAUGUCACUUUCUUGUCCCUGAGGCAAUAUAUUGAAGACGAAGGAAAUGUGGGAAGUCGCUGACUGUCGUGAUCCUGUGUGUUCGUUGACAGAUGGUAGCAGCAGUGAGAGUGUUGUCACUGAAGGAACAGGCAAAAGCCACUAUGAUGUGGUGAUGAGUGUUGGUGAAGAAUGGUCUACUCGUGCGUAUGUUAGAGGGACACAAGUGGUCCUAGUGACGGUCAAAAUGAUACUGC